AAACACAGAUACAAAUAUAAAAAAGAACUUGGCAAAGACUAACUUCACCGAGAAUCACCUGACUUAACCUCACCACCCACGUGGCCCAUUUGUCUGGGAGUAACUCAUGUAAUCCCUGUGGCUUAGAUAGCGGAUCAGGAUGUCGACAAGUAUUAACAAUUUGGACUGAAAACUAGAUUAAAGAUGUUUGGAUAAACUAAAAUAAACUGGGAAACUGGAAGUAGUCAAACAAUCAGGACAUCUUUAGAGAGUAUCACUUGCUCAGACCUGAACAUGACUUACAGUGCGUCUCCACAAGCAUCGAUACACACACCGUUAAUGUGGGACCACACCAAGCUAUAGUCAAAUCGUAUAUUUUGAUUAUAACUAACAGCUGUUAACUCUCCUGCAGCAGUAUCACACUUGUAUUGAGUUACCACUAAUGCAAACCAAACAUUUCCUCCUGCUGCUGCUUCACAUUAGUCAGCUAACAUAAUGAUAAGAGCAUCUAGGGCCCGAACUUGUUUCGUUAAGAACAUUUGUUUGGACGCCCCACAGACUGUAUAUGAAGGGGGACGACAUGAAAGCCCCCCCCAAAGUGACGCCAAAUCAUCGUCAUCGCCCUCUGGUGGCCGGAUUUAGUAAAGGUCAUGAAACCUACCUCCGUGUGAGUGGAUGGGAUACGAGCCAAAAGUCUAAUCUUGACACUUGAGGGCAAACAGCUGCAGCCUGACCUUCUUCUUGACGAGGGACAUGACGCCGAUUCGCGUGAGGACCGGCUGGCGACACAGGCCCUCCCUCGGGACGCCGUCUGCGAACGUCUCCGCGCCGUCAGCCACCGGCUCGCACAGAUUUGCCCCUGAGGUCUCUCACCAACCACUGGGAGGAAAAGGCGUCCUGAGACGGCAUCCCCCAGCGCAUCACUGCGUUCAGGAAGGCCUUCCGCUGGCGUGUGUUAAAGCCCAGCACCUAUCAAGGG
This is a long non-coding RNA of Platichthys flesus (European flounder), 958 nucleotides long. RefSeq lists it as uncharacterized. The record is from RefSeq and is a predicted model, not a curated record. The transcript is spliced from 3 exons. NCBI's taxonomy places the organism in Eukaryota, Metazoa, Chordata, Actinopteri, Pleuronectiformes, Pleuronectidae.